This 407-nucleotide RNase P RNA is filed under the name Candidatus Zhuqueibacterota bacterium. RNAcentral describes it as "candidate division KSB1 bacterium RNase P RNA component class A". It matches the Rfam family "Bacterial RNase P class A". Rfam says of the family: Ribonuclease P (RNase P) is a ubiquitous endoribonuclease, found in archaea, bacteria and eukarya as well as chloroplasts and mitochondria. Its best characterised activity is the generation of mature 5'-ends of tRNAs by cleaving the 5'-leader elements of precursor-tRNAs. The record is from RNAcentral. Lineage: Bacteria; Pseudomonadati.
AGAGCAGACCGGACGGCCGCCUCUUCCGGGCUUUGGCCCGUGAAGGGGAGGAAAGUCCGAACUCCGAAGGGCAGGACGGUCGCUAACAGCGACUCCGCGUGAGCGGAGGAAAGUGCCACAGAAAACAGACGGCCCGGGCGCGCCCGGGUCACGGUGAAAAGGUGGGGUAAGAGCCCACCGCCCCGGUGGUGACACUCGGGGGCACGGUAAACCCCGUCCGGAGCAAGACCAAGUAGGUUCCGUUGGGAAAGCCUCCGGGCUUUCCCGGAGGGUGGCCCGCCCAACCCUGGCAUCGGGGACGGAACGGGUAGGUCGCUAGAACCGUGGGGCAACUCGCGGUCCAGAUAAAUGGCCGUCGUCCCGGUUCCCCCGGGAUACAGAAUUCGGCUUAUAGGUCUGCUCUGGAU